Molecule: non-coding RNA, 114 nt
Filed under: Callithrix jacchus (white-tufted-ear marmoset)
Lineage: Eukaryota; Metazoa; Chordata; Mammalia; Primates; Cebidae
Description: Mitochondrial DNA control region secondary structure A
Rfam family: Mitochondrial DNA control region secondary structure A
Source: Rfam by way of RNAcentral
AACUUUUCUCUAGAUGCAUUUUAACUAUUAUGUUUGUAUUAACGAGUUACCAUUAAUACAUUAGUGCCUUUAUGUACUAAGUGCAUUACUGCUAGUCCCCAUGAAUAAUACAUA